RNAcentral lists this ribosomal RNA (468 nucleotides) under uncultured bacterium. Its description in RNAcentral is "partial 16S ribosomal RNA". It matches the Rfam family "Bacterial small subunit ribosomal RNA", at positions 28 to 507 of the family's 1533-position model. The record is from RNAcentral.
GACGAACGCUGGCGGCGUGCUUAACACAUGCAAGUCGAACGGAAAGGCCCUGCUUUUGUGGGGUGCUCGAGUGGCGAACGGGUGAGUAACACGUGAGUAACCUGCCCUUGACUUUGGGAUAACUUCAGGAAACUGGGGUUAAGACCGGAUAGGAGCCCCUGCUGCAUGGUGGGGGUUGGAAAGUUUCGGCGGUUGGGGAUGGACUAGCGGCUUAUCAGCUUGUUGGUGGGGUAGUGGAUUACCAAGGCUUUGACGGGUAGCCGGCCUGGGAGGGUGACCGGCCACAUUGGGCCUGAGGUACGGCCCAGACGCCUACGGGAGGCAGCAGUGGGGAAUAUUGCACAAUGGGCGGAAGCCUGAUGCAGCAACGCUGCGUGCGGGAUGACGGCUUUCGGGUUGUAAACCGCUUUCGCCUGUGACGAAGCGUGAGUGACGGUACUGGGUAAAGAAGCACCGGCUAACUACGUG